UACGAAGGGGGCUAGCGUUGCUCGGAAUCACUGGGCGUAAAGCGCACAUAGGCGGCUUGCUAAGUCAGGGGUGAAAUCCUGGAGCUCAACUCCAGAACUGCCUUUGAUACUGGCGAUCUUGAGUCCGGGAGAGGUGAGUGGAACUGCGAGUGUAGAGGUGAAAUUCGUAGAUAUUCGCAAGAACACCAGUGGCGAAGGCGGCUCACUGGCCCGGUACUGACGCUGAGGUGCGAAAGCGUGGGGAGCAAACAGG
Molecule: ribosomal RNA, 253 nt
Filed under: uncultured bacterium
Lineage: Bacteria
Description: partial 16S ribosomal RNA
Rfam family: Bacterial small subunit ribosomal RNA
Source: RNAcentral